This 253-nucleotide ribosomal RNA is filed under the name uncultured bacterium. RNAcentral describes it as "partial 16S ribosomal RNA". It matches the Rfam family "Bacterial small subunit ribosomal RNA", at positions 524 to 776 of the family's 1533-position model. The record is from RNAcentral.
UACGAAGGGUGCAAACGUUGCUCGGAAUUAUUGGGCGUAAAGCGCACGUAGGCGGGUCGUUAAGUCAGGGGUGAAAUCCCGGAGCUCAACUCCGGAACUGCCUUUGAUACUGGCGACCUUGAGGCUGGAAGAGGUUAGUGGAAUUCCCAGUGUAGAGGUGAAAUUCGUAGAUAUUGGGAAGAACACCAGUGGCGAAGGCGGCUAACUGGUCCAGAUCUGACGCUGAGGUGCGAAAGCGUGGGGAGCAAACAGG